Molecule: ribosomal RNA, 329 nt
Filed under: uncultured eukaryote
Lineage: Eukaryota
Description: partial 18S ribosomal RNA
Rfam family: Eukaryotic small subunit ribosomal RNA
Source: RNAcentral
CCCUUAGAUGUUCUGGGCUGCACGCGCGCUACACUGAUACCUUCAGCGAGUCCACCACCUUGCCUGGGAGGGUGGGGUAACCUCUGGAAAGUGCAUCGUGAUGGGGAUCGAUUAUUGUAAUUAUUAAUCUUCAACGAGGAAUUCCUAGUAAGCAUGUGUCAUCAGCCCGUGCUGAUUACGUCCCUGCCCUUUGUACACACCGCCCGUCGCUACUACCGAUUGGGAAAAUUUUAGAGAGUCCUGGACUGAUGAUUGUUCGGCUUCACGGCCUUACUUUCGUCGGGAAAGAAUUCGAUAAUAUUUUUCUAGAGGAAGUAAAAGGCGUAACA